UGCUCAUCGACUGUGACACGUGCACCACACUAAUGAAUGAUUUUGUUAAUGGGCAAAGUGGGGGGGUGGCUGGGGUAAAUGGGAAUCCCUUAUAUUUCCGAUGUAACAUUUAUGUAAUGUAAAGCUUCUCUUAAAAUAAUAGUAAUUAAAAAGGAAAUCAAAAUUUAAAAACAUAAAAUGAUGCUUUCUCUUGACGCAGGGCCUUGGGGAGCUGAAGGAGAACGUGUGGUGGAAAGGCUUUGGGAGCAGCAGGGAUGGCCGCGGUAGGGGCGGGGCUUCUGCGGGCACAGGGCUAAGCGCUGCGGUUGGUGAGAAGACGCCUGCUGCUCUGGGGAGGUCUGGGUGAGACUCAGGGAACCACCCUGCUCCAGCUCCUGUCCCACCCAGAUCCCCGGCUUCCUCCUUGGCCCCAAACUCCCAGCUGCCUGUGGCUCACCGCCUGCUUCCCUGGCUCCUCAAGCAUGUCCAGUCGGGUCGGAAAGGCCAGCUAGACCAAGAGGAGUCGUUGUGGCCCCCGGGGGCCUUCCCUGAGCAGGGACCUUCCGGAGCAUGCCCUGUGGAGGGCCUGCUGCUUCCCAGGAUGGUGGAAGACGAGGAAUGAGGAAAUCCCGUUUCAUUUCAAGGAGCAACAAGCGACCUUUGCCUCCCCGGCUUGCCACCUGGCCCCCGUCCCCACCCCCAGGGAGGGAGGAGAGGCCGGUUUCACUUUUCUUCCUGGUUAUUUUCACUUUCAUGCUCCC
This 740-nucleotide long non-coding RNA is filed under the name Dasypus novemcinctus (nine-banded armadillo). Its description in RNAcentral is "lncRNA (ENSDNOG00000052228.1)". Lineage: Eukaryota; Metazoa; Chordata; Mammalia; Cingulata; Dasypodidae. The record is from RNAcentral.